UGCCUGAUGCCACGUUACCGGUAGCUUCUUUGCCUUGACCGGUGAUGCUACAUCAGGCACAUAUCAAAUCGUUAUUUCGCAUCCUGAUAGGAACCUGUGGAUCGUAUUUCAACUUUCCAUGGAGCCGUUUUUUUUGCGAUUACAUUU
This 147-nucleotide small nucleolar RNA is filed under the name Zostera marina. Its description in RNAcentral is "Small nucleolar RNA snoR2/U65". It matches the Rfam family "Small nucleolar RNA snoR2/U65". Lineage: Eukaryota; Viridiplantae; Streptophyta; Magnoliopsida; Alismatales; Zosteraceae. The record is from Rfam by way of RNAcentral.